UACGAGGGGUGCAAGCGUUAUUCGGAUUUAUUGGGCGUAAAGGGUGCGUAGGUGGUAUGUUAAGUCUGUUGUUAAAUUUUCCGGCCUAACCGGAAGCAUGCAAUGGAAACUGGCAAACUUGAGGAUGGAAGAGGGAAGUGGAAUUCUCGGAGUAGCGGUAAAAUGCGUGGAUCUCGAGAGGAACACCGAUGGCGAAGGCAGCUUCCUGGUCCAUAGCUGACACUGAGGCACGAAAGAGUGGGGAGCAAACAGG
This 253-nucleotide ribosomal RNA is filed under the name uncultured bacterium. Its description in RNAcentral is "partial 16S ribosomal RNA". It matches the Rfam family "Bacterial small subunit ribosomal RNA", at positions 524 to 776 of the family's 1533-position model. The record is from RNAcentral.